CAGCAGCCGCGGUAAUACGGAGGGAGCUAGCGUUGUUCGGAAUUACUGGGCGUAAAGCGCACGUAGGCAGUUAUUCAAGUCAGAGGUGAAAGCCCGGGGCUCAACCCCGGAACUGCCUUUGAAACUAGAUGACUGGAAUCUUGGAGAGGUCAGUGGAAUUCCGAGUGUAGAGGUGAAAUUCGUAGAUAUUCGGAAGAACACCAGUGGCGAAGGCGACUGACUGGACAAGUAUUGACGCUGAGGUGCGAAAGCGUGGGGAGCAAACAGGAUUAGAUACCCGCGUAGUCCCUGUCUCUUAUAC
Molecule: ribosomal RNA, 301 nt
Filed under: uncultured bacterium
Lineage: Bacteria
Description: partial 16S ribosomal RNA
Rfam family: Bacterial small subunit ribosomal RNA
Source: RNAcentral